UACGGAGGGUGCAAGCGUUGUCCGGAUUUAUUGGGUUUAAAGGGUGCGUAGGCGGGGUCUUAAGUCAGUGGUGAAAGCCGGCAGCUCAACUGUCGAAUUGCCAUUGAUACUGGGGUCCUUGAAUUCAGUUGAGGUAUGCGGAAUUGAUGGUGUAGCGGUGAAAUGCAUAGAUACCAUCAGGAACACCGAUUGCGAAGGCAGCAUACUGGGCUUGAAUUGACGCUGAGGCACGAAAGUGUGGGGAUCGAACAGGAUUAGAUACCCUGGUAGUCCACACUGUAAACGAUGAUCACUCGCUGUUGGCGAUACACAGUCAGCGGCCAAGCGAAAGCGUUAAGUGAUCCACCUGGGGAGUACGCUCGCAAGAGUG
RNAcentral lists this ribosomal RNA (370 nucleotides) under uncultured bacterium. RNAcentral's name for it is "bacterial SSU rRNA". It matches the Rfam family "Bacterial small subunit ribosomal RNA", at positions 524 to 896 of the family's 1533-position model. The record is from RNAcentral.